Molecule: RNA transcript, 4073 nt
Organism: Dunckerocampus dactyliophorus (ringed pipefish)
Lineage: Eukaryota; Metazoa; Chordata; Actinopteri; Syngnathiformes; Syngnathidae
Gene: myo1g
Gene name: myosin IG
Exons: 24
Source: RefSeq, a predicted model, not a curated record
CUGAAGACAGCCAUACUUCUCUUUUUUGAGUCACUUUCUGUUCCCUAUACGUCUUGGUUUUUUUCCCCCUUAUUUGCUGGAUCCAGACAAAGGAUGGCAGAGAUGGAGGGCCUUGAGUUUGGGAAGUCAGACUUUGUGCUUCUGGAUGAGGUGACCAUGGAGCAGUUUAUGGAGAAUCUCAAAUUGAGGUUUGAAAAGGGUCGGAUCUACACUUACAUCGGAGAAGUGGUGGUCUCUGUGAACCCGUACAGACAGAUGGACAUUUACGGGAAAGAGACGAUCGACGUUUAUCGUGGUCGUGAGCUGUAUGAAAACCCACCUCACCUCUUUGCGGUGUCUGAUGCUGCCUAUAAGGCCAUGAAGAGAAGAGCCAAAGACACCUGCAUCGUCAUAUCAGGUGAAAGCGGUGCCGGGAAAACAGAAGCCAGCAAAUACAUCAUGCAGUACAUUGCAGCCAUCACAAACCCAAGUCAGAGGGCGGAGGUCGAAAGUGUGAAGAAUGUGCUACUGAAGUCCAACUGUGUGCUGGAGGCUUUUGGGAACGCCAAGACGAGUCGUAACGACAACUCCAGUCGCUUCGGCAAGUACAUGGACAUCAACUUCAACUUCAAUGGUGAUCCCACAGGGGGACACAUCAACAACUACCUCCUGGAGAAGUCCAGGGUGGUCCAGCAGCAAGAAGGGGAGAGGAACUUCCAUUCAUUUUAUCAGUUACUGCGAGGUGGAUCCAAUGACUCAUUUCAUCUACAAAGUGAUCCAAGUGUUUAUGUGUACACUAAAGAGGGAUCUGCAUCCACUACCUCUAAUAACGACCACGCUAGCCACAAAGCUGUGAUGAAUGCACUGGAAGUAAUUGGCUUCUCCAAAGAAGAGAUUCUGUCAAUUUAUCAAAUUGUAGCCUCCAUCCUGCAUCUGGGUAAUGUGCAAUUUGAGAGUGAUGGUGAGAGUGUUCAAGUUUUGGACCUUGAAGCUGUCAGCUACAUCUCAGAGUUGACUGCCACAGAUCCAGACAAGGUCAUCAAGAGCUUGCUGUACCGCACCGUAGCCACUGGGGGUGGCGAGGUCAUAGAGAAGGGUCACACAGAAGAAGAGGCCUGCUUUGGGCGGGAUGCUUUUAGCAAGGCUCUCUAUGAGAGACUUUUUGGGUGGAUUGUAGGCCGCAUCAACGACAUCAUUGAGGUCAAAGACUACAACCCAGUACUUCAUGGGAAAAACACAGUCAUUGGUGUGCUGGAUAUCUAUGGAUUUGAGAUCUUUGAUAACAAUAGUUUCGAGCAGUUCUGCAUCAACUACUGCAACGAAAAGCUGCAGCAACUUUUCAUUGAGCUGAUCCUUCAACAGGAACAAAAUGAAUAUAACCGAGAGGGGAUCCAAUGGCAACACGUUGACUACUUCGAUAACCAGAUCAUUGUUGACCUUGUGGAGCAGCCACACAAAGGAAUCAUUUCCAUUCUGGAUGAAGCUUGUCUUACUGUUGGGAAAGUGACAGACACAAUGUUCCUGGACAGUAUGGACACCAAACUGGCGAAACAUCCCCACUACAUCUCCCGCAAGCUCAGCCCCACGGACAAAAGCAUGGACUUCCAAAAACACUUCCGAAUCCGUCACUAUGCUGGGGAUGUCACAUACUCCGUGGAGGGCUUUUUGGACAAAAACAGAGACCUGCUCUUCCAAGAUUUCAAGCGCCUCAUGUACCACAGCUCCAACCCAGUUAUGAAGGAGAUGUGGCCAGAUGGCCAACUCGGCAUCACCGAGGUCACAAAGCGACCUCUUACAGCAGCCACCCUCUUCAAGAACUCCAUUAUAUCCUUAGUGGAUAAACUGGCCUGCAAGGAGCCUUAUUAUGUGCGAUGCAUUAAGCCAAACGAAGUGAAGUCCCAGCUGCUAUUUGAUGACGCUCGCUGCCAGCAUCAGGUGGCCUAUCUGGGGCUGCUGGAGAACGUCAUGGUGCGUAGGGCAGGUUUCGCCUACAGGCAGCCCUACGCUCGCUUCUUGCAACGGUAUAAAAUGACGUGUGAGUACACUUGGCCCAAUCACCUGAUGGAUUCGGACCGAGAGGCCGUGGAGGCCAUUGUCAGACAGCACGGUUUCCAAGAUGACGUGGCGUACGGCUGCACCAAGCUGUUUGUGCGAACACCGCGGUCUCUCUUCACUUUGGAACAGGAGCGAACCAUCCUCAUCCCCAUCCUGGUGCUUUUCCUACAAAAGGUGUGGCGGGGGGCUCUUGCUCGUAUGAGGUGCCGCCGGAUGAGGGCCAUUCACACCAUCAUGGGAUGCUUCAAACGCUACAAGGUCAAGGCCCACUUCUGGGAAGUAGAGCAGAGGUUUGCUAAUGUCAGGAACAUGGCCGACUAUGGAAAGAGCGUCGAGUGGCCGACCCCACCCGCCGCUCUGACUCAGUUUCACACCAUCACUGUCAUGCUGCAUCGCAGGUGGUGGGCGAGGCAGAUGGUGAAGAAGAUCCCACCAUCUGACAUGCUGGAGAUUCGUGCCAAAGUUGCCGCUCUCACUGCUCUUAGCGGCGAGAGAAAAGACUGUGGCUUGAGUAGAGCUUGGGAGAGAGACUACUUGGCCAAUGUGCGAGACUGCCCUCAGUCCAGUUCCGGCUUCGUUCGCUUCUCCCGGGAGCUGAGGAACAAAGAAGAGUACAGUCAAGUCCUCUUCUCAGGCUUCUGUAGGAAGGUGAAUAGGUUCAGUAAAAGCACAGACCGUGGCGUACUUGUCACAGACAAGUGCAUCUACAAAUUAGAGCCAAAGAAACAGUACAAGGUCCUAAAGAGGAUUCCUUUAGACACUCUAACAGGACUCAGCGUGACCAGUGGAGUUGACCAGAUGGUGGCGCUGCACAUGUCCUCUCAGAACGACGUUCUGCUUUGCCUGCAACGCGGUGAGCUCUGCCCCAACCGGGACAGAGUCGGCGAGCUGGUGGGAAUGUUGGUGGACCACUUCACACGGGUAAGAAAAACAGCAUUAUCUGUGAAGGUGUGCCCAUCAACCAUCCGGCUGCACAUGCGGGGCAAACCAAAGACUGUUAGCGUGGAAACCAAGGCGGGCCAAACUAACGCUGAUUUCAAGAAGAGCAGAGAUGGUUUUGUUCUAUGGGUCCCAGCCAAUUGAGGUAUACCACUGUGACGUGUUUGAAAUAUAAGACAACGAUGGAACGUAAGUGUAACCCCGCCAAUCAGAAGAGUCCUCCUCCUUCCUGCGCUCCUUACUGCAUCCCAUUUACAUAAAAGUAUUUGUUUGGGAGCACUCGUUGGAUUACCAACACUCACGCAGGACAAUGGGAAAGUCCAAGGAACUCAGUGAGGAUGUCAACUUUCUAACAGUAUGUACAAUAUAGAAUGUAACACAUAAAAAUACUGCUUAAUACAAUGCCUUACAGUUGUUUGCCACUUUCUUGUGUUACUUCCAGCUAAAACAUACCCAUUCAACAAACUGAAAAUUGUUUUUUUAAUAUAAUUUGACUUGGACAUGAACACUUGUGGACUUAUACAGUGUUAGAAACAACCAAAGAGGAUGUUCGGUGGGAUACAUUGUCAUUGGCUAUGUGUGUGUGCAAUGAGUGCCAGCAGGAAUGACUGUGCAAGUAAACCUCAUUCCUUGAUGCCUUAAGAGUUGACAGCUCAGACUUUUACCUCAUCUGUGGACCCUCGUUCGGUCGCCUGGCGUGCACAGAGGCGGACCAGUCAGGUUACAUCGGUGCCAUAACAAGGUUUACGUUGGUGAGUGUUUGAGUAAACCUCACCUUUGACGCCUUAAGAGUUGCGCUGGACACCGAGUUGACAGCUCAGGCAUUUGCCGUGCAUCUCAUGCUCCCGACUUUCAUUCGGUGAGCCGCGGACCAGACAGCUUACAACAUGCAUUUCUACUUAUCUUUGAAAGGACCACUUCAUUGCAUGGUGCAAGUGAACCUAAUGUUUUGGCUGAUAUUACGUAGUUAAAUAGGAACUGCUGUUAGAAAAGACAAGUCGUCGCUGGACUUGAAUGGUUGGACAUAAACAAACACGGAUGACAUAAAAGUGUACAUCUUGCAUCCAGAUCUAGACUAUAAACACUUUGUAUGGAAAGCA